RNAcentral lists this long non-coding RNA (1911 nucleotides) under Equus caballus (horse). RNAcentral's name for it is "lncRNA (ENSECAG00000058791.1)". Lineage: Eukaryota; Metazoa; Chordata; Mammalia; Perissodactyla; Equidae. The record is from RNAcentral.
AGCGCAGCCGCCAAGUGCUAGCCGCGCUCGGCUAAGGAGCUUGGAUUUGAUUCCCAGGGCACCAGAGAGCCAUGGGAAGACUGAAGAGGACAGUGACCCGGUGGGAUUUGUGUAUCUGGAAGAUCCCUCGAGUUUCCCGGAAGCUGGAAGGACUGAUGCUCAUGUCCCAGUGUCUGGGGAAGGAACUUCUGUCUGUCCUCUUCACUGCCUGGUCCCCAGAGCCUAGAACAAAGCUCAGCACGCGGGAGGCGCUCAACAAACACUCGUUCACUGAAGCGAAAGGAGGGAAAGGUGAAUUUGAGCUCCAUGCAGACAAGAGAUUCCAAGGGGCCCUGGAGGAGAGUCCCAGCCCAGCCACAGGCACGGGGAUGUGCACCAGGGAGGAGGGGCUCGGAUGGGCAGGACACCUCCACAGCGUGGCUUGAUGAGCGGCGCAUAGGUCUGUGCCGGGGAUCCGAACCAGCAAACCCCAGGAUGCCGAAGCAGAGUGUGUGAACUUAAUCACUACACCACUGGGCCGGCCCCGAACGUUUAUAUCUAUCUCCCGGCAGGAGCUGUGCUGGGGUUUCACAUGUCCUAGCGUCUCUCUUUCUUAGCCUGGUCGGAAGUUACAUGAAUAACACACAUUUGUCCUGGAGCGUCUCCCAUGGUUUGGAUCCAGCGGACUGCGCCCCGAGGUGUCAUUUGUGGUGUCCCGAUGUUCUCUGUGUUUUGUAAAACUUGGCAGAUAGAUCCAGACCAGAGCUGUUGAAAUAAAAACAUAACGUGAGCCACAGACCCAAGUCACGUGCCUCACUUUAAAUUUUCUAGUAGCCACUCCACUUUAAUUUUAAAGGGUAAAAAGGAAUGUAUUUUCAUCAUUUAAUUUGAGCCCAAGGCAUCCACAGUUUGAUUAUUUCAACAUGUAACCAAUAAUAAAUUAGUUAUUUUACAUUCCUUUUGUUCCCUCUUGCCGAGUCUUCAAAAUCUAGUGUGUAGUGUACAUUUGCAGUGCGUCUCCAUUCGGACUGGCCACUUUUCUAGUAUUUAUCAGUCACAGAUGACUCAUAGCUACUAUUUUGGAAAACUUUUGGACGUGGAACACUCUAGGCAUCUCUUCAGCAUCAGAUUUGAUUUUUCAGCAAGGCAACUUCGUCAGUGGAGAUGUGUCCUUCCACUAAAAGAAACCCUGCCUGAGCUCAGCCAGCCAUCGACGUGUCUCUCACCAGCUUCUUUGCUCAGAAACACGUUUCAGAAGAAAAAUUGGAAUACCCCGGAUACAGAGUUUGGAUUUCUGGAUUUCUUACUGAACACACCCUGUCUGCUCUCCCAGACCACUUCCUUAAAAUGGUUUGCAACUUGCAAGUGUGUUGCACUCCGUGGCCCUGCCCUUGUGUUGGGACAUCGAGGUUGUUUCCGAAGUAUUAGUCAUUGUCACAACAAGUCAUUGGCUGGGGACGUGGUAUCGCUGGUUCCUGAAGACAUUGCGAUUUAAAAUGAAUAAUUAACCCUGAAAAUAAAACUGUAAAUGUUCUGUGAGAAAAAAUGUGAGAACCCCUUUGUAACCUUCAGGGAGAAAGGACUUUCUGUGACUUAAAACCCAGGAGGCCUAAGAAUUUAAGGUUUGCUCUCUCUGCGCGUGCGCGUGCGCACGGGCGCGCGCGCGCACACACACACACACACACACACAACUUCUGGAUGGCAAAAAAAAAGGCAGAGGAGAGUCAGAGACAAAUGACAAACGGAAGAAAAAGUUUGCAAUUCACACCACAAAGACCUCAGCUGCCUAAUAAAGAGCUCCUGGGAAUCAAUAAGAAAAAGAACAACGUAGCAAUUUCAAACAAAAGACAAAGGAAACAAGAGGCUGUCAAACUUUUGAAAGGAGGAUCUUCUACUGAGACCGAUGAAAAUCAAAACUGUGUGAGAUGCCAC